This 3596-nucleotide long non-coding RNA is filed under the name Elaeis guineensis (African oil palm). RNAcentral's name for it is "long non-coding RNA (EGUI_LNC034781)". The record is from RNAcentral. Lineage: Eukaryota; Viridiplantae; Streptophyta; Magnoliopsida; Arecales; Arecaceae.
GGAGAGAUUGCUAGCAAUCCAUCCAUUCUCUUCUUCUUCUUCUUCAUGGAUGAUCAUCACUAAGCCGUCGAAAAUCACGAUCGAGUAUUACUGGCAAAUUAGGUAAGAGUCCAAAGUUUUCUGAGUUAUCUCUUCUUCUUCUUCCUCAGUAUUUAAAGCUUUAAUUUUGACUGACAAUCGCCAAAACUUUUUGAGAAAAAUAGAGCCCCUAUUUUUCUCAUAUUUUCAUUUUUUUUUGAUUUCCAGCAUCAUUCGCCACCACCAAUCAUUGGGAUGGAUGACCAUCGGCUAGGUUGCCAUGGCUCCAACCACCACCAACCACUAGCCAUGAAUCCUUUAUUUUAAGUAUUACAAUAAGCACAAAAAUAAGACACACACAGACUCGUACAAUCAUACAGAAUAGAGAAGAGAAGAAAAAAUGGACAUAGAAUUUUCGUGGUUCGGCCAUAAAGCCUACGUCCACGGGCAAAAUAUGAGAGAAAAAUUUCACUAUGAUGAAAAGAGAAAUACAAUCACUCAGAACUCUCUAAACUCUAGCCGCGGUCUGAUUUCUCAAAUCUUUUACCAAAAAUCUGUCGAGAUUGGCCCAUGCCUUCCGCUAUCACCACAGACCUCCCAAAAAAAUUUCAUUCAGAUCACAACGCGAGCUUUUCAGAUCGACUCAUAAUUCGAGCUCAUAAAAAAUAUUCAAAAUUCAAGCCACAUUAACAUUGAAAAAAGAAGGGGAUCAAGAAGUCUCUUGUUUUGCUAAUAAACUAAAAAAAAGAAAAAAAAAAAGAGAAAAAGAAAAAAGAAGAAAGNNNNNNNNNNNNNNNNNNNNAAAAAAAAGAGAAAAGAAAAAAAAGAAGAGUUUCUCUCUCCAAUCUUCUUCACUCCUCUCUUUAGUUUCUCUCUUCCCCAAUUUCUUACCUUGGUUUGGUUUGAUCUUUACUUUGGAUCGACUUUGAUUUUUGCCUUAAUUCAGCCUGAUCUUCACCUUGGCUAAGUUUAAUCUUCACCUUGGCUCGGUUUGAUCUUCACCUCGACUAAGUUUGAUCUUUGCCUUCACUCAGUUUGAUCUUCACUUCGGUUCGGCCUUGAUCUUUGUCUCGACUCAAUUUGAUCUUCAUCUCAGCUCGGCCUUGAUCUUUGCUUUGGUUUAGUUUGAUCUUCCUCUCAAUUCGAUUUGAUCUUUACCUCGAUCCGAUUUGAUCUUUACCUCGACUUGGUUUCUCAAAGACCUGUGGACCAGAAAAAAGGAAAGAAAAUGGACUGAUGGAUGAGAACUUUAAAGCCUCCUACCAUAAGAGCUUUGAGUCAUCGGAGUCUUUCCCUUUAUAAGCCUAUUCUCCUAGAACACCCUUGAUUUUGUUCAGAUAGAUAAGAAAGCAUGGAUCCAUCAUGAUUUAGGGGGCAGAAUUCGAGAUACUUCCGUAAUCUCUUUUUUUUGUUUGGAUUUUAAUCCGUCGUGAUCUUCUUCCUCAUUUAGAUGCUACGAUCUCCUUUUCUAUUUAGAUCCUAUGAUCUCUUUCCUCGUUUGGUUCCCUCCAAGAGUUCAAAUUUUGAAAUAAUUAAGUGCAGAUCUGUCAUGAUUCAGAAAUUGAAGGUUUUCUAUAAUUUUCUUUAUUUGAAUGUUGCCAUCUCCUUUCUUAUUGGGAUCCCAUCAAGAAUUCAAAUUUUAAAAUGAGGAAGAGCAGAUCCGUUAUGAUUCGAAAAUCGAGAGAUUUUCAUAACCUCCUUUAUCUGGAUAUUGCGAUCUUCUUUCUCACUUGAAUUCCAUCAAGAAUUCAAAUUUUGAAAUAAAAAAGCAUGGAUCCAUCAUGAUUUGAAAAUCAGAAGAUUUUUAUAAUUUUCUUUAUCUGGAUGUUGCAAUCUCCUUCCUUAUUUUGAGCCUCCUAGUUUUGAGCCCAAUUAGAAUAGCUUGGAGGUUGUUAACUGAUCUACUUGACUCGUGAUGGUGAAAGACGGAGCACGGAUCUUUCAAGGAGGGUGGUGAGUCCUAUUCUAGAUUUGGUCAGCAACUAGCCGAUUUGAAAAUGAUCGGCUUGGAUCUGAUUGACAUCUAGCCAAUCUAGAUGCAGUCAGCUUGGAUCUGGUCGAUGUCUAGCCGAUCUGGUCUUUAAGAAUUCGAUAGCAUUAGAGCAACACAACAAAGUUCUUUUGAUAAGAUGCUCACUUCUUUUCAUAAACGGAUCUGAAUCCUUUCUCUAGUACCAAUCUGUUAUUGUAAAAAUCUAUCUUAGAAGUAUUGACUGAAAUUGGACAGCGACCGCAAGUCGGCGAUGAUAGGACAGGGGAGGUAGGACCUAUAAGAUAAAUUUCAGACUGGAGUUGACUUCGAUAGAGGUCCUUCGAUGCUCAAGUCAGAUAUCUAGAACAGAUGGAAAGAAGUAAACACUUUGGAAGAGAUUUUUUCAUACCUUGGAGGUCCUCUAUAGGCCUUUAUUUAUAGGUAAAGGCUAAAGAACAUGAGAAGGAAGGAGAAUCAGGCAAUUAAUUUUGAGUUAUUAGGUAUCUCUAUUAUUUUCUACUUUAUCUAGAGAGAUAUAUUUAUUAUCUCCUACCUCAUCAAGAAUGCCGGCUAGAAAAAGAGAAUCAACGAUUAACCUUACUUUGUUGGGUAAGAUAUGCUUGUUAUCUUUUAUUUAGAGAAAUAUGUUUGUUAUUUCUUCUUUAUCCGCUCUCAGUAAGUUGUCGCAUGAAUUCUAAAAUUUCUUCGAUUGGCAUAAAUUGGGUAUAAUAUUUUUUUGAAAUAUUAACCUAGGUCGGCCAUCAUCAAAAUUAGAUCGGAUCCAACUUUCCUAUACAUCGACUUUAUCAAAGAAUUUUCUACCCAUACAUAACUUCCCUAUGCAUCAUCUUGAUCAAGGAAAGAAUUUCCUAUCCAUAUGUAUGGGUAGGAAAUUCUUUCCUUGAUAAAGCCGACGCAUAGGGAAGUUAGGCCCGAUCCAAUCUUGAUGAUGGCCGACUCAGACUAAUAUUGUGAAAAUAUAUUGUACCUAAUUUAUGCUAGUCAAGAAAGUCUUAGAAUCUGCAUGACAACUUGCUAAGAGUGGGAUAAAAAAGAAAUAACAAACAUAUUUUUUCAGAUAAAAGAUAACACAUAUAUCUUGCCCAACAAAGUAGGAUGAACCAUCGAUUCUUCUUCUCGAGUCAAUAUUUUCGAAGAGACAGGAGAUAACAAAUAUAUCUCUUCAGAUAAAGCAGAAUACAAAAGACAUUUCUUGUCCAAUAAGUCAAGGCUAACCAUCCGAUUCUCUUUCUUUCUCACGGCUCUUCACCCUCUGUCUAUAAAUAAAAGCCCAUAGAAGAUCUCUAAGGUAUGAAAAAAUUUCUCUCGCAAAGCACUUACUCCUUUCCAUCUAUUCUGGAUAUUUGACUUAAAUAUCGGAUGGUCCCUAUCGGAGUCAACUCUAAUCGAAGACUUAUCUUGCAGGUCCUGCACUGCCGCGUAACUAUCCAAUUCUAGUCAAGUCGAUCCAAGAUAGAUUUCUACAGCAACAGUUAUCAAGAAAGAACAAAAGUAGGAGAAAAGAUAUUUAUCGUGGUAGUGUCCUCAACAAUACAUACAUAAUGACGCAAUACGGUAGUAGUAUACACAGUGGAGAGAGCAAGGG